Molecule: ribosomal RNA, 446 nt
Filed under: uncultured bacterium
Lineage: Bacteria
Description: bacterial SSU rRNA
Rfam family: Bacterial small subunit ribosomal RNA
Source: RNAcentral
CCAGACUCCUACGGGAGGCAGCAGUGGGGGAUAUUGCACAAUGGGGGAAACCCUGAUGCAGCAACGCCGCGUGAGUGAAGAAGUAUUUCGGUAUGUAAAGCUCUAUCAGCAGGGAAGAGAAUGACGGUACCUGACUAAGAAGCCCCGGCUAACUACGUGCCAGCAGCCGCGGUAAUACGUAGGGGGCGAGCGUUAUCCGGAUUCACUGGGUGUAAAGGGAGCGUAGACGGCCAUGCAAGCCAGGGGUGAAAGCCCGGGGCCCAACCCCGGGACUGCUCUGGAAACUGCGUCGCUGGAGUACGGGAGGGGCAGGCGGAAUUCCUGGUGUAGCGGUGAAAUGCGUAGAUAUCAGGAGGAACACCGGCGGCGAAGGCGGCCUGCUGGACCGUGACUGACGUUGAGGCUCGAGAGCGUGGGGAGCAAACAGGAUUAGAUACCCUCGUACC